This 384-nucleotide RNase P RNA is filed under the name Coraliomargarita sp. RNAcentral's name for it is "RNase P RNA component class A". It matches the Rfam family "Bacterial RNase P class A". From Rfam's summary of the family: Ribonuclease P (RNase P) is a ubiquitous endoribonuclease, found in archaea, bacteria and eukarya as well as chloroplasts and mitochondria. The record is from RNAcentral. Lineage: Bacteria; Pseudomonadati; Verrucomicrobiota; Opitutia; Puniceicoccales; Coraliomargaritaceae.
UUNGAAGUGCGGGCGUUCGCUUGCCCCUUGCNGGGUGAGAGGAAAGUCCGGACACUAAAGGGCAAGAUUCCCCGUGAAAGCGGGGGCGCGGCAGGGCAACCUGUCGUGACGGAUAGUGUCACAGAAAAUAACCGCCUCACGCCUGCGUGAGGUAAGGGUGAAAAGGAGGGGUAAGAGCCCACCGCUUCAAAGGUAACAAUGAAGGCAAGAUAAACCCAGUUUAGUGCAAGGCAAAAUAGGGGAUCGGGCGGCCCGUCCAAUGAUCUCGGGUAUGCCGCAUCUCGCUUUAGCGAGAAACUUGUACUGCAAGUUAGAUAAAUGAGCGCACAGCCUACCGCUUUAGCGGAAGGCGGACAAAAUCCGGCUUACAGCACUUCGAAGCCG